Molecule: ribosomal RNA, 1325 nt
Filed under: Microbacterium sp.
Lineage: Bacteria; Bacillati; Actinomycetota; Actinomycetes; Micrococcales; Microbacteriaceae
Description: bacterial SSU rRNA
Rfam family: Bacterial small subunit ribosomal RNA
Source: RNAcentral
AGCUUGCUCUGUGGGAUCAGUGGCGAACGGGUGAGUAACACGUGAGCAACCUGCCCCUGACUCUGGGAUAAGCGCUGGAAACGGCGUCUAAUACUGGAUAUGUGACGUGACCGCAUGGUCUGCGUCUGGAAAGAAUUUCGGUUGGGGAUGGGCUCGCGGCCUAUCAGCUUGUUGGUGAGGUAAUGGCUCACCAAGGCGUCGACGGGUAGCCGGCCUGAGAGGGUGACCGGCCACACUGGGACUGAGACACGGCCCAGACUCCUACGGGAGGCAGCAGUGGGGAAUAUUGCACAAUGGGCGCAAGCCUGAUGCAGCAACGCCGCGUGAGGGACGACGGCCUUCGGGUUGUAAACCUCUUUUAGCAGGGAAGAAGCGAAAGUGACGGUACCUGCAGAAAAAGCGCCGGCUAACUACGUGCCAGCAGCCGCGGUAAUACGUAGGGCGCAAGCGUUAUCCGGAAUUAUUGGGCGUAAAGAGCUCGUAGGCGGUUUGUCGCGUCUGCUGUGAAAUCCGGAGGCUCAACCUCCGGCCUGCAGUGGGUACGGGCAGACUAGAGUGCGGUAGGGGAGAUUGGAAUUCCUGGUGUAGCGGUGGAAUGCGCAGAUAUCAGGAGGAACACCGAUGGCGAAGGCAGAUCUCUGGGCCGUAACUGACGCUGAGGAGCGAAAGGGUGGGGAGCAAACAGGCUUAGAUACCCUGGUAGUCCACCCCGUAAACGUUGGGAACUAGUUGUGGGGUCCAUUCCACGGAUUCCGUGACGCAGCUAACGCAUUAAGUUCCCCGCCUGGGGAGUACGGCCGCAAGGCUAAAACUCAAAGGAAUUGACGGGGACCCGCACAAGCGGCGGAGCAUGCGGAUUAAUUCGAUGCAACGCGAAGAACCUUACCAAGGCUUGACAUAUACGAGAACGGGCCAGAAAUGGUCAACUCUUUGGACACUCGUAAACAGGUGGUGCAUGGUUGUCGUCAGCUCGUGUCGUGAGAUGUUGGGUUAAGUCCCGCAACGAGCGCAACCCUCGUUCUAUGUUGCCAGCACGUAAUGGUGGGAACUCAUGGGAUACUGCCGGGGUCAACUCGGAGGAAGGUGGGGAUGACGUCAAAUCAUCAUGCCCCUUAUGUCUUGGGCUUCACGCAUGCUACAAUGGCCGGUACAAAGGGCUGCAAUACCGCGAGGUGGAGCGAAUCCCAAAAAGCCGGUCCCAGUUCGGAUUGAGGUCUGCAACUCGACCUCAUGAAGUCGGAGUCGCUAGUAAUCGCAGAUCAGCAACGCUGCGGUGAAUACGUUCCCGGGUCUUGUACACACCGCCCGUCAAGUCAUGAAAGUCG